UUGAUUUGAGAUUUCCUGGAGAGUGCAAAAUAUUUUAUGCACUGUUUUCUUGCGUAGAUCGGAAAAGAAGGCCUAUAGAUGUGAUUGAGAUGAAAUCUACCGCUUUCUACUUCGUCUUCCUCCUCCUCCUGCACUACGCAGUGAGGGUGGGGUCCACUCCGCCGAGUUAUUUCCAUUAAGGCCGCCCGAAUUUGUCGCCUCCUUCUCUGCCUUCGACAGCUCCCUACUCUCCUCGCGUGCUGCUUUCUACCUCCUCUCUCUCUCUCUCUCUCUCUCUCUCUGUCUUUUGUUAUCCGCGCCUCGUUCUUUCNNNNNNNNNNNNNNNNNNNNUCCUCUCUCUCUCUCUCUCUCUCUCUCUCUGCUUUUUGUAUCCGCGCCUCGUCUUUCUUUGCCAUUGAUAGUUUCCCCGGGAUUAGCGGGAUCGAUGACAGGAAGAAGCGAAAGAGGGUACCGGGAAGAAGCGUAGUCGGUGCCGGGAGAGGGAGGAG
This 488-nucleotide long non-coding RNA is filed under the name Musa acuminata (dwarf banana). RNAcentral describes it as "long non-coding RNA (MACU_LNC004347)". Lineage: Eukaryota; Viridiplantae; Streptophyta; Magnoliopsida; Zingiberales; Musaceae. The record is from RNAcentral.